Molecule: ribosomal RNA, 406 nt
Filed under: uncultured prokaryote
Description: bacterial SSU rRNA
Rfam family: Bacterial small subunit ribosomal RNA
Source: RNAcentral
UGGGGAAUAUUGGGCAAUGGGGGGAACCCUGACCCAGCAACGCCGCGUGAAGGAAGAAGGUUUUCGGAUUGUAAACUUCUGUCCUUGGUGAAGAGGAAGAGACGGUAGCCAAGGAGGAAGCCCCGGCUAACUACGUGCCAGCAGCCGCGGUAAUACGUAGGUGGCAAGCGUUGUCCGGAAUUACUGGGUGUAAAGGGCGCGUAGGCGGGAGAACAAGACAGAUGUGAAAUCCCAGGGCUUAACUCUGGAGCUGCAUCUGAAACUGUUUUUCUUGAGUACUGGAGAGGAAAGUGGAAUUCCUAGUGUAGCGGUGAAAUGCGUAGAGAUUAGGAGGAACACCAGUGGCGAAGGCGGCUUUCUGGACAGUAACUGACGCUGAUGCGCGAAAGCGUGGGGAGCAAACAGG